UUUUAUAAGUGGUGAAGUGGGGACGAAGAAGGCUAGGUGAGCCAGGCGUUGGUUGUCCUGGUACUUGCAUGUAGGGGGGAAGACUUGGCAAAUCCGGUUUUCCAUAACUCUGAGGUGCGAAGUGGUUCUGACCUUUUGGUACAGAGAAGUCAUUGAUGCCCGGCUUCCAGGAAAAGCUGCUAGCCAUAACUUAUAGAGAACCGUACCGCAAACCGACACAGGUGGACAGGUAGAGAAUACUAAGGCGCUUGAGAGAACUCGGGUGAAGGAACUAGGCAAAAUGGUACCGUAACUUCGGGAGAAGGUACGCCCUUUCUGGUGAUGGGAUUUACUUUCAGAGCUGGAGAGGGCCGCAGAGACCAGGUGGCUGCGACUGUUUAUUAAAAACACAGCACUCUGCAAAUUCGUAAGAAGACGUAUAGGGUGUGACGCCUGCCCGGUGCCGGAAGGUUAAUUGAUGGGGUUAUCUUCGGAGAAGCUCUUGAUCGAAGCCCCGGUAAACGGCGGCCGUAACUAUAACGGUCCUAAGGUAGCGAAAUUCCUUGUCGGGUAAGUUCCGACCUGCACGAAUGGCGUAACGAUGGCCACACUGUCUCCACCCGAGACUCAGUGAAAUUGAAAUCGCUGUGAAGAUGCAGUGUACCCGCGGCUAGACGGAAAGACCCCGUGAACCUUUACUAUAGUUUUGCACUGGACUUUGAUGAUGACUGUGUAGGAUAGGUGGGAGGCUGUGAAGUGAGAACGCUAGUUCUCAUGGAGCCGCCCUUGAAAUACCACCCUGUUGUUAUUGAGGUUCUAACUUGGUCCAGUAAUCCUGGAUGAGGACAGUGUAUGAUGGGUAGUUUGACUGGGGCGGUCUCCUCCCAAAGAGUAACGGAGGAGCACAAAGGUACCCUCGGUACGGUCGGACAUCGUACCAAGAGUGUAAAGGCAAAAGGGUGCUUGACUGCGAGAGUGACGGCUCGAGCAGGAACGAAAGUUGGUCUUAGUGAUCCGGUGGUUCUGAAUGGAAGGGCCAUCGCUCAACGGAUAAAAGGUACUCCGGGGAUAACAGGCUGAUACCGCCCAAGAGUUCAUAUCGACGGCGGUGUUUGGCACCUCGAUGUCGGCUCAUCACAUCCUGGGGCUGAAGCAGGUCCCAAGGGUAUGGCUGUUCGCCAUUUAAAGUGGUACGCGAGCUGGGUUUAGAACGUCGUGAGACAGUUCGGUCCCUAUCUGCCGUGGGCGUAGGAAAAUUGAGAGGAGCUGCUCCUAGUACGAGAGGACCGGAGUGGACGAACCUCUGGUGCACCGGUUGUCACGCCAGUGGCAUGGCCGGGUAGCUAAGUUCGGACGGGAUAACCGCUGAAAGCAUCUAAGCGGGAAGCCUCCCUCAAGAUGAGUUUUCCCAUGAAGCCCGUUGAAGACUACGACGUUGAUAGGCAAGGUGUGGAAGCGCAGUAAUGCGUGAAGCUAACUUGUACUAAUUGGCUGAUUGUCUUGACCAUAUAAUCUGAG
Molecule: ribosomal RNA, 1497 nt
Filed under: Legionella pneumophila
Lineage: Bacteria; Pseudomonadati; Pseudomonadota; Gammaproteobacteria; Legionellales; Legionellaceae
Description: partial 23S ribosomal RNA
Rfam family: Bacterial large subunit ribosomal RNA
Source: RNAcentral